RNAcentral lists this ribosomal RNA (393 nucleotides) under Salmonella enterica subsp. enterica serovar Derby. RNAcentral describes it as "bacterial SSU rRNA". It matches the Rfam family "Bacterial small subunit ribosomal RNA", at positions 865 to 1258 of the family's 1533-position model. RNAcentral also lists the same sequence under 4 other names. The record is from RNAcentral. Lineage: Bacteria; Pseudomonadati; Pseudomonadota; Gammaproteobacteria; Enterobacterales; Enterobacteriaceae.
UAGACCGCCUGGGGAGUACGGCCGCAAGGUUAAAACUCAAAUGAAUUGACGGGGGCCCGCACAAGCGGUGGAGCAUGUGGUUUAAUUCGAUGCAACGCGAAGAACCUUACCUGGUCUUGACAUCCACGGAAGUUUUCAGAGAUGAGAAUGUGCCUUCGGGAACCGUGAGACAGGUGCUGCAUGGCUGUCGUCAGCUCGUGUUGUGAAAUGUUGGGUUAAGUCCCGCAACGAGCGCAACCCUUAUCCUUUGUUGCCAGCGAUUAGGUCGGGAACUCAAAGGAGACUGCCAGUGAUAAACUGGAGGAAGGUGGGGAUGACGUCAAGUCAUCAUGGCCCUUACGACCAGGGCUACACACGUGCUACAAUGGCGCAUACAAAGAGAAGCGACCUCGC